CCACACACCAGCAGCAUCCCCACAAGCCUCUGCAACAGAGAUGGAUGUAGAGGCGCUAGUGGACCGGACAUUAAGAAGUCUUUACCUCUCACAUUCAGCAGCAGAAAGGCCAUGUAUUUUCCCUCCCAUCAACCCUGCUGCUCAAAGCAAAGAGAGGGGAGACCCAGCCAUGCUCAGCCUCCAGGAGGAGCUCAGCCUCCAGGAGCUCAGCCUCCAGGAGCACCAGAGGAAAGUGGAGGACAACAAGCGUCUACUUGAGCAGCUGGCGCGUAUCGAGGAGGAGCUGGUAGACAGCCUUCGCAGGGAGGUGGCGAGAAAGAGAGAGCUGAACGUUAUACGACAGGAGGACAACAGGCUACGCUGGAGGACACUGUGUUUCCUUCAGCUCAACCAGCGCCUCAAAAAGCCAGUUGUAACCAGCUAUUACAAGAACAUCCCUAUGCACAUCUACUGUCUCCCUAUUCAGACUGUUGGAAAAGGCAACAGUAACAAGAAGAACAAGAAGAAGUGGCAGCGAUGAGAAUAAGAGGAAGUAGAAUAGGAGUGCAGUCUGGGAGGAUGCUUGUGACAGUUCAUCGGUUCCACUUCCAUGUACCACUGUGGGACACAGGACUAUGUAACUCACAAGUCCUGCUGAGCGCUGCUUCUUUAACAUUCUGUACUGCGUUGGAAAAAAGAAAGUCACAAAGAAUAUUUUGGAUAUCUAUAUGCUCUCUCUCCAGUAUUUCUUACUUUGCCAAUAUACUGAUAUACAGUGCCUUCGGAAAGUAUUCAGACCCCUUGACUUUUUCCACAUUUUGUUACGUUACAGCCUUAUUCUAAAAUGGAUUAAAUAAAAUAAAAAAUCCUCAGUAAUGUACACACAAUUCCCCAUAAUGACAUCACAAUACACCAUAAUGACAUCACAAUACACCAUAAUGACAUAGAGUAAACAGGUUGUUAGAAAUGUUUGCAAAUGUAUUGAAAAUAAAUAAAAAAACACCUUAUUUACAUAAGUAUUCAGACUCUUUGCUAUGAGACUCGAAAUUGAGCUCAGGUGCAUCGUGUUUCCAUUGAUCAUCCUUGAGAUGUUUCUACAACUUCAUUGGAGUCCACCUGUGGUAAAUUAAAUUGAUUGGACAUGAUUUGGAAAGGCAAAC
Molecule: long non-coding RNA, 1139 nt
Filed under: Salmo salar (Atlantic salmon)
Lineage: Eukaryota; Metazoa; Chordata; Actinopteri; Salmoniformes; Salmonidae
Description: lncRNA (ENSSSAG00000117187.1)
Source: RNAcentral